AGCGAACGCUGGCGGCAGGCUUAACACAUGCAAGUCGAACGGAUCCUUCGGGAUUAGUGGCGGACGGGUGAGUAACACGUGGGAACGUGCCUUUUGGUUCGGAACAACACAGGGAAACUUGUGCUAAUACCGGAUGUGCCCUUCGGGGAAAGAUUUAUCGCCAUUAGAGCGGCCCGCGUCUGAUUAGCUAGUUGGUGAGGUAAAGGCUCACCAAGGCUACGAUCAGUAGCUGGUCNGAGAGGAUGAUCAGCCACACUGGGACUGAGACACGGCCCAGACUCCUACGGGAGGCAGCAGUGGGGAAUCUUGCGCAAUGGGGGAAACCCUGACGCAGCCAUGCCGCGUGAAUGAUGAAGGUCUUAGGAUUGUAAAAUUCUUUCAGCGGGGACAUAAUGACGGUACCCGCAGAAGAAGCUCCGGCUAACUUCGUGCCAGCAGCCGC
This 442-nucleotide ribosomal RNA is filed under the name uncultured bacterium. Its description in RNAcentral is "bacterial SSU rRNA". It matches the Rfam family "Bacterial small subunit ribosomal RNA", at positions 29 to 518 of the family's 1533-position model. The record is from RNAcentral.